ACCAAUACCCAGUGGCGGACGGGUGAGUAACACGUGGGAAUCUACCAUUAGAUGGGGAAUAACAGGCCGAAAGGACUGCUAAUGCCGCAUAUGUAUGUGCCUCGACAGGGGCGUAUAUGAAAGGAGUAAUCCGUCUGAUGAUGAGCCCGCGUCCGAUUAGCUAGUUGGUAGGGUAAAAGCCUACCAAGGCGACGAUCGGUAGGUGGUCUGAGAGGAUGAUCACCCACAAUGGGACUGAGACACGGCCCAUACUCCUACGGGAGGCAGCAGUGGGGAAUUUUGUGCAAUGGGGGAAACCCUGACACAGCGACACCGCGUGAGCGAAGAAGCCCUUUGGGGUGUAAAGCUCUGUCAACGGGAACGAAAAAAAUGACGGUACCCGUGGAGGAAGCAUCGGCUAACUACGUGCCAGCAGCCGCGGUAAGACGUAGGAUGCAAGCGUUGUCCGGAUUUAUUGGGCGUAAAGAGUUCGUAGGCUGUUUGUUAAGUCUGAUGUUAAAGACUGGGGCUCAACCUCGGAAAUGCAUUGGAUACUGGCAGACUGGAGUGCAGUAGAGGCUAGUGGAAUUCCCAGUGUAGCGGUGAAAUGCGUAGAUAUUGGGAAGAACACCGGUGGCGUAGGCGACUAGCUGGGCUGUAACUGACGCUGAGGAACGAAAGCCAGGGGAGCGAAUGGGAUUAGAUACCCCAGUAGUCCUGGCCGUAAACGAUGGAUACUAGGCGUAGUGGGUAUCGACCCCUGCUGUGCCGCAGCUAACGCGAUAAGUAUCCCGCCUGAGUAGUACGGCCGCAAGGUUGAAACUCAAAGGAAUUGACGGGGGCCCGCACAAGCGGUGGAACAUGUGGUUUAUUUCGAAGCAACGCGAAGAACCUUACCAGGGCUUGACAUCUG
This 892-nucleotide ribosomal RNA is filed under the name uncultured bacterium. Its description in RNAcentral is "bacterial SSU rRNA". It matches the Rfam family "Bacterial small subunit ribosomal RNA", at positions 84 to 990 of the family's 1533-position model. The record is from RNAcentral.